UGAAGAAUGAGAAAAACUACAGGCUAACUGGUAAUCUAAUACCAGAGACACUCACAGCAUGGACACGUCUGGAAACGUUACAUACUCCAAUGAAGAACGUGUGUAUGAAAACCCAUUUAGCAGUGGGAAAGAAGACAAUAUGGGACAAUAUAUUUAUGUAAAUGAUAGCUUUAUUGACCCUAAUGAUAAAGUAGCGAUCAAGACCAUCCAAAAAGGACCAGGACCAGGACCAGUUGUUCCUUUGAGUUCAUCGUGGAGAGCUGCAGCAGUGUGUCUGGGGCUGCUGUGUGCUCUCCUACUGGCUGGGGUCGUAACACUGGGAGUCAUCUUCACCAAAGUUGAUGAACAUAAAACCAUAAAAACUAUGGAGAGAGACCAACUACAGACCAGUUACACCAACCUGACCAAAGAGAGAGACCAACUACAGACCAGUAACACCAACCUGGCCAGAGAGAGAGAUGAACUUAAGAGAAAGCUGUGUGAUGAAUAUGGAUGGAGCAGAUUUAACAGCAGCUGUUACUACAUCUCCAUGGAGAUGAAAAGCUGGGAGGAGAGCAGAAAGGACUGUAUCAGAAGAGGGGCAGACCUGGUGAUCAUUAACAGCAUAGAGGAGAUGAAACCUAGGCAGUGUCUGGUUGGGUCUGACUGAUGACGUUCCACCAACGUUCUACCGUCAGUGGACCUGGGUGGACGGAACACCUCUGGAUCCGGCCAAAACAUACUGGGCAUCAGGAGAACCACAAAUCCCUCCCUACUAUGGUCCCAGCUGUGUUGAGCGAUGGAAACCUGAUCAGCCGGCUAACAGAAGCC
Molecule: long non-coding RNA, 810 nt
Organism: Hypomesus transpacificus
Lineage: Eukaryota; Metazoa; Chordata; Actinopteri; Osmeriformes; Osmeridae
Exons: 6
Source: RefSeq, a predicted model, not a curated record